AAGCCGUGCUUGGAGCAGAAGAAGUUGAGGAAAAAUCCUCAGUUCUGAGAAAUUCUGGAGCUUGAAGCUUGCUCGGAGGAGGUGCAUGCCAGGCAGGAGAACGGUGGUGCGCGAGAUCUGCAUGUCUUCUGCCCCCACUCAGAGGAAGCCCCAGCCUACAGUGAGGGGGUGCCCAGAAGGACUUAUAAUCUGGACUCAAGAAGAUUCAUCCAUGUUGAUGCAUCAACUGUAGCUCAUUCGUUUUCACGGCUUAUAAUAGUUCAUUGGGUGAACAGACACAAUGUUAAAAAAAUUAUGCCUG
Molecule: long non-coding RNA, 301 nt
Filed under: Equus asinus (donkey)
Lineage: Eukaryota; Metazoa; Chordata; Mammalia; Perissodactyla; Equidae
Description: lncRNA (ENSEASG00005023852.1)
Source: RNAcentral